AUAUCGCAGCUUCUGACGAGGCCAUCAGAGCCCGUAUGAGAAUUUGGGAAAGGCAUUUGAAGUCCUGUUUAUUUGAAUCAAGCAUAAACACACUGUGCACAUGUCUGGCUGCUGGUGGGGCAGGGAGGAGGCUGGGGAGCAGAUCCUUCUGCGGUGGAUUUCAAAUGGAGAUCAGCUGGCCCGAGUGAUCGAUUACCCCGGAUGAAAAGACUCAGAGCUGUGGACUCGUAGCAGGAAGAGCCCUUAGAAACAGGGAACUGCUCUUUUUACAGUUAGGGAUACUGAAGACCAGAGAGGUGCUUGCUUGCCCAAAGUCGCGCAGCUUAGCUUGAAAGUAAAUUAUGGAAGAAUUCUGGUGGGCUUUGGGGUCAGACAGCGUUGAGUUCAAGUCCUGGAUCUAUCACUAUAUUCCUUGGAUGGCCAAUGGACAGUGUCAAGCUGGAAACCCAGUAGGAUUUCUAAUUUGUCAACAGAACCCAGCACAGCCCAGAGGGAAGAGGGUUUUAAAUGGAAAGAAAGAACGCAGCAGAACUGAAGGACAAGAGGAUGUUGCUCUGCCCGUUUGCAGCAGAACAAACUAAACUUUGGGCUUUAUUUCAGGAAUGCUGGGGAAUUACCAUCUCUCAGGGUGGGAGAGGGUUGUAGAGUCUGCUCUGUCUACUCGUGUCCUGUGAUGGCUGAAUGUCCACCAAAUGACUACCAAACCUCUGUCCCAGUGGCUCGAGGGUCAGGCAGCCACUGCCUCUGGAGGCAGCUUCUAAGAACAGCCAUUCACUCGAUCAACAAACGUUAAUCAAAUGCCAAAUAGCAACAGAGCACCUGCCAGGCGAGGGACGAGGUGCUGGAGCAGUGAGACAACUGAAAUCGACUUGGUCCCUGUGCUUGUGGCACCAAGAGUCUAGUGGGGGUUAUAGACACUAAGUAAUUAAAUGCUUGGGUGAAAUAAUUAUAACUUACAAUGACUGUUAUGGGUUGAAUUGUUUU
This 984-nucleotide long non-coding RNA is filed under the name Equus asinus (donkey). RNAcentral describes it as "lncRNA (ENSEASG00005030709.1)". Lineage: Eukaryota; Metazoa; Chordata; Mammalia; Perissodactyla; Equidae. The record is from RNAcentral.